GUCUACGGCCAUACCAUCCUGAACGCGCCCGAUCUCGUGUGAUCUCGGAAGCUAAGCAGGGUCGGGCCUGGUUAGUACUUGGAUGGGAGGUUCACUCUGGCAAUGAGCAGGAUUCCUCUCUGGAACCCAAGAGGGACA
This 138-nucleotide ribosomal RNA is filed under the name Neogale vison (American mink). The record is from RNAcentral. Lineage: Eukaryota; Metazoa; Chordata; Mammalia; Carnivora; Mustelidae.